Astatotilapia calliptera (eastern happy) is the source of this 1269-nucleotide long non-coding RNA. NCBI's taxonomy places the organism in Eukaryota, Metazoa, Chordata, Actinopteri, Cichliformes, Cichlidae. The record is from Ensembl.
UUUUAUUGUAUGGUCAGCAGUACGGUGUACAUUUUAGGACAUCGUCAGGUAUCAGAAAAAAAAUUGUCAGGUGUCAGUUGUCAAAAAAAAAAAAAGUCAGGUAUCAGAAAAAAAAUUGUCAGGUGUCAGAAAAAAAAUUGUCAGGUGUCAGUUGUCAAAAAAAAAAAAAGUCAGGUAUCAGAAAAAAAAUUGUCAGGUGUCAGAAAAAAAAUUGUCAGGUGUCAGUUGUCAAAAAAAAAAAAGUCAGGUAUCAGAAAAAAAAUUGUCAGGUGUCAGUUGUCAAAAAAAAAAAGUCAGGUAUCAGAAAAAAAAUUGUCAGGUGUCAGAAAAAAAAUUGUCAGGUGUCAGAAAAAAAAUUGUCAGGUGUCAGAAAAAAAAUUGUCAGGUGUCAGUUGUCAAAAAAAAAAAAGUCAGGUAUCAGAAAAAAAAUUGUCAGGUGUCUGUUGUCAAAAAAAAAAAAGUCAGGUAUCAGAAAAAAAAUUGUCAGGUGUCAGAAAAAAAGUUGUCAGGUGUCAGAAAAAAAAUUGUCAGGUGUCAGACAAAAAAUUGUCAGGUGUCAGAAAAAAAGUUGUCAGGUGUCAGAAAAAAAAUUGUCAGGUGUCAGAAAAAAAGUUGUCAGGUGUCAGAAAAAAAUUUUUCUGGCAUAUUCAUAUAAAGGAUUUUUUUUUUUAAAGUAAGAAGCCUUACAUUGUUUCUUUAAUAGUCCAAUUUUUCUUUAAUAUGUUGGUUCUUGCACACCUACAAAAUUCCCAAACAUGUUGUAAGUUUAGGCUUUACAAACUGAAAGUUUCUAUUAUUUUAUUAGUCUGUACCACUUGCUUAAGUGGAAUGGGGAUUAAAAAAUGCACAGGACUAUAAAACCGGGUUGGAUCAUUAACCAAUCUGUUAAUUUUAAUGUUGGGUAUAAUAAACAAUCUCAGAAUAAAUCUGCAGUGAUUGGGUGAUCUGGGUGCUAAAAGCUUUGAGGUUUUUUUUUUUCCCCAAUUAUGAGCUGUGGUCUUUGGAAUGACAUUUUUGAUAACAUUUGUGAAAUUUUAGACAACCUGGUAAGUUCUCAUAUGUAUACCUUAUAGGUUCACCACCCUUCUAAGAAGGCAGUCCUGACAGACUGGGGCAUGGCAAACAUAAGAGACACUGUGAUGCUUCGUCAAGGGAGUAAGUUCACUGCCCAGGCUACUGGUCCAGCUGGUGGCACAUAUCUUUACAUGGCCCCUGAAUGCAUACUGAUGUUUGAAGAGGCCACAUGUCUGGAACAGACAGACAUGUGGU